GACGAACGCUGGCGGCGUGCUUAACACAUGCAAGUCGAGCGGUAAGGCUCCUUCGGGAGUACACGAGCGGCGAACGGGUGAGUAACACGUGAGCAAUCUGCCCUUCACAUCGGGAUAACUUCGGGAAACCGAAGCUAAUACCGAAUACGACCACCGACGGCAUCAUCUGGUGGUAGAAAGUUCCGGCGGUGAAGGAUGAGCUCGCGGCCUAUCAGCUUGUUGGUGGGGUAAGUGGCCCACCAAGGCGACGACGGGUAGCCGGCCUCGAGAGGGUGACCGGCCGACACUGGGACGUGAGACACGGCCC
Molecule: ribosomal RNA, 307 nt
Filed under: uncultured bacterium
Lineage: Bacteria
Description: bacterial SSU rRNA
Rfam family: Bacterial small subunit ribosomal RNA
Source: RNAcentral